CAGUCUUACCGGUGGAUCACUCGGUUCGUGGAUCGAUGAAGAACGCAGCUAACUGCGAUAAGUAGCGUGAAUUGCAGACGCUUUGAACGUUAAACUUUCGAACGCACAUUGCGCCGUAGGAGUUCUACCCUGCGGCACAUCUGGUUGAGGGUCGUGAUCGAGAACUGCAGGACUGUAGCAGUUAGUAGAACUAGUUGGUGGAUCACAAGUCCAGCCUCCCGCCUCUGGCCGGAUGUGGUCUGCCAUAAUGUAUAGAGGACCUUGCGUUUUGCCUUUGCGGCAAUUGUGAUGGCCUACCACUCGGAUGAUCUAUUAGCCGAGGCAAUAGAUCCCGGUCCCGGGGUAUUAUACGACUUUGUCAUACUCGGUGGAUGUCUGGGAUACGGCUAGUACGCUUCAUACGUGCUUGGUUACGAGAGUUUUCGCUCUCCCGACCUCAACUCAGGUGUGAUUACCCGCUGAACUUAAGCAUAUCAGUAAGCGGAGGAAAAGAAACUAACGAGGAUUCCCUUAGUAACGGCGAGUGAACGGGGAAGAGCCCAGCGCUAAAUCUUGCUGCUCUAACGGGUAGCGAGAGGUGUAGCGUAUAGUAGGCGACUUUCCUUGAUGGCUGUCGACUUAAAUUCUCCUUGACUGGGGUUCCAGAGAAGGUGAAAGGCCUGUUCAGUCGAUGGCCGUCUUGGAUUCCGUCCUACUCGGAGUCGGGUUGUUUGGGAACGCAGCCCAAAUUUGGUGGUAAACUUCAUCUAAGGCUAAAUACGGCCACGAAACCGAUAGCAAACAAGUACCGUGAGGGAAAGUUGAAAAGUACUUUGAAGAGAGAGUUCAAGAGGACGUGAAACCGGUAGGAUGGAA
Molecule: unclassified non-coding RNA, 855 nt
Filed under: uncultured soil eukaryote
Lineage: Eukaryota
Description: sequence contains 5.8S rRNA gene, ITS2, 28S rRNA gene
Rfam family: Eukaryotic large subunit ribosomal RNA (bases 432-855)
Source: RNAcentral